UGUCGCCCGCAAGGGCGCAUGGUGGAUGCCUUGGCAGACAGUACCGACGAAGGACGUUUGAGGAUGCGAUAAGCCUCGGGGAGCCUCCAGCAUGGCUUCGAUCCGAGGAUCUCCGAAUGGGGCAACCCGCCGGCCGUCAUGGGCCGGCACCGCAGGCUUCUGCGGGGGGUACGCAGGGAAGUGAAACAUCUCAGUACCUGCAGGAAGGGAUACUCCGUGAGUAGUGGCGAGCGAAAGCGGAUCAGACCAAACCGCGUGCGCGUGAUACCCGUCGGGGGUUGCGUGCGCGGUGUUGAGGGAGCGCGUGUCCCGGUUCCGACGGACCGGGCGGGAGUCAUAAAACGGCUUGCCAGGGGAACAGGCUUGAAGGCCGCAGAGGGUGCCAGCCCCGUACCUGGACGCUUGCCGUCUUCCGAUCGCGUGUCCCAAGUAGCGCGGGCCUCGUGGAAUCCCGCGUGAAUCCGCACCGACCGUGGUGUAAGUCUAAGCAUACCUGUCUGACCGAUAGCGUACCAGUACCGUGAGGGAAAGGUGAAAAGCACCCCGGGAGGGGAGUGAAAGAGUUCCUGAAACCGUGCGCCUACGAUCCGUCGGAGCCUCCUUGUGGGGUGACGGCGUGCCUAUCGAAAAAUGAGUCUGCGAGUCAGUGAUGCGUGGCGAGGCUAACCCGUCGUGGGGCAGCCGUAGCGAAGGCGAGUCCGAACAGGGCGUUUCUAUAGUCGCGUGUCCUGGACCCGAAGCGGGAUGAUCUAGCCCUGGGCAGGUUGAAGCGCGGGUAAGACCGCGUGGAGGACCGAACCCACCUGGGUUGAAAACCGGGGGGAUGACCUGGGGCUAGGGGUGAAAGGCCAAUCAAAUUCCGUGAUAGCUGGUUCUCUCCGAAAUGCAUUUAGGUGCAGCGUCGGCUUAUUGCAUCGCGGGGGUAGAGCUACCGGAUGCUUGCGGGCCCUUGUGGGGUACCAACAGCAGCCGAACUCCGAAUACCGUUGAUGUGUAUGCCGGCAGUGAGUCGGAGGGGGAUAAGCUCCGUCGUCGAGAGGGAGACAGCCCAGACCGUCGUCCGAGGUCCCCAAGCGUGUGCUAAGUGGGAAAGGAUGUGGAGUCGCGGUGACAACCAGGAGGUUGGCUUAGAAGCAGCCAUCCUUGAAAGAGUGCGUAACAGCUCACUGGUCUAGUGGUUCCGCGCCGACAAUGUAGCGGGGCUCAAGCACACCACCGAAGACGCGGCGGCGCGUGUAUGCGCGCCGGGUAGGAGAGCGUCCUGCAAGGGGCGAAGCGGCCGGGUGACCGUGCCGUGGACUUUGCGGGAGUGAGAAUGCAGACAUGAGUAGCGAGAGACGGGUGAGGAUCCCGUCCGCCGGAUGACCAAGGGUUCCGGGGCCACGUUCGUCGUCCCCGGGUGAGUCGGGUCCUAAGGCGAGGCCGACAGGCGUAGUCGAAUGGAUGAACGGGUGGAUAUUCCCGUACCGGCAGCGAACCGACAGGACCGAGGCGGUGAGUACUAACCUCCGUCGCGGGCCGUUCCCCUCCUUCGGGUGGGGUCCGGCGCGUGGCGUUGGGAGCGUAGCCGUGGUAGGUGAGCGCAGGGGUGACACGGAAUGGGAGCCGGCCGCGGAGGUGGUUUUCCGUGGUCAAGCACGCAGCCGGUCGCACAGGCAAAUCCGUGCGGCGCGUACGGCGAGGUGCGAUGAUGGGAGCCGUUUCGGCUCGAUAUCCGGUGGUCCAGGCCGUCGAGAAAAGCCCCGGCGUCAGGCGCGUUGCCGCCCGUACCCCAAACCGACACUGGUGGUCAGGUAGAGAAUACCAAGGCGAUCGAGCGAAUCCUGGUCAAGGAACUCGGCAAACCGCUCCCGUGCCUUCGGCAUAAGGGAGACCCCCGCGGGUGAACGGACAUGCUCCGGGAGCGUGUGGGGGUGGCACAGACCAGGGGGUAGCGACUGUUUACCAAAAACACAGGUGCAUGCGAAGGCGUAAGCCGCUGUAUAUGCACUGACGCCUGCCCGGUGCCGGAAGGUUAAGAGGAUCCGUCAGCCCCUCUUGGGGGUGAAGCGGUGAAUUCAAGCCCCGGUAAACGGCGGUGGUAACUAUAACCAUCCUAAGGUAGCGAAAUUCCUUGUCGGGUAAGUUCCGACCUGCACGAAUGGCGUA
This 2148-nucleotide ribosomal RNA is filed under the name metagenome. Its description in RNAcentral is "bacterial LSU rRNA". It matches the Rfam family "Bacterial large subunit ribosomal RNA", at positions 1 to 2003 of the family's 2925-position model. The record is from RNAcentral.